Molecule: ribosomal RNA, 504 nt
Filed under: uncultured bacterium
Lineage: Bacteria
Description: partial 16S ribosomal RNA
Rfam family: Bacterial small subunit ribosomal RNA
Source: RNAcentral
AUUGAACGCUGGCGGCAGGCCUAACACAUGCAAGUCGAACGGUAGCACAGAGAGCUUGCUCUCGGGUGACGAGUGGCGGACGGGUGAGUAAUGUCUGGGAAACUGCCCGAUGGAGGGGGAUAACUACUGGAAACGGUAGCUAAUACCGCAUAACGUCGCAAGACCAAAGUGGGGGACCUUCGGGCCUCACACCAUCGGAUGUGCCCAGAUGGGAUUAGCUAGUAGGUGGGGGAAUGGCUCACCUAGGCGACGAUCCCUAGCUGGUCUGAGAGGAUGACCAGCAACACUGGAACUGAGACACGGGCCAGACUCCUACGGGAGGCAGCAGUGGGGAAUAUUGCACAAUGGGCGCAAGCCUGAUGCAGCCAUGCCGCGUGUAUGAAGAAGGCCUUCGGGUUGUAAAGUACUUUCAGCGGGGAGGAAGGCGGUGAAGUUAAUAGCUUCACCGAUUGACGUUACCCGCAGAAGAAGCACCGGCUAACUCCGUGCCAGCAGCCGCGGUAA